GGAUUGUGGUUCAGUGGCAGAGCUCUUGCCUAGCAAGUGUGAGGCACUGGGUUCAAUUCUCAGCACCA
Molecule: transfer RNA, 68 nt
Filed under: Marmota monax (woodchuck)
Lineage: Eukaryota; Metazoa; Chordata; Mammalia; Rodentia; Sciuridae
Description: tRNA.Ala
Source: RNAcentral